RNAcentral lists this long non-coding RNA (1406 nucleotides) under Salvator merianae (Argentine black and white tegu). RNAcentral's name for it is "lncRNA (ENSSMRG00000015857.1)". Lineage: Eukaryota; Metazoa; Chordata; Lepidosauria; Squamata; Teiidae. The record is from RNAcentral.
AUGAAUCGGGGCCGUUCUGCAAAGGAUUAUGUCUUUUGGUGCCUGCCUGUUUUAGAAAGGUGGGUCCUGUCUGCUGGAAAGAUGAUGUCUCUCUUCUGGAUCUGUUGUCUCGCGCCGCUGGCCUCUGUGCUGGGCCACACGCAGGCAAACUAUGCGGGUAGGUUUCCUGGACUCUGGCAUCCGAAAACCGCUUUCUCGGUGCAGCUGAUGAAGGAGAUGUCAGACAGGUUGCACAACGAAGCUAAAGUUAAAGCUAUCGAAUCGUGGGGAUUCUUGGACAACCACUACAACACCACGUUCAUGCCGCUCAAGGGGGAGGCCACGCACGUCGUGAUACAGACGGUAGCCGGGAAAAUGUUUAAUAUCACUACCAUAGUGGUAGAAGUCAGCUGCCCAGAGGAGCAGGAGCCCGGAAAUUACACAGGUUGCGAACCCUUGCCGGGGAGCCAGCCAAAGGUGUGCAACGUGGUGAUUCUGCUUAUCCCGGGAAACGAGAAGCCUUUCUUCUACCACGAUCCCUGCCAAGAUUUCAGCAGCUAUCUGCAGCGNAAUGCCGAGGUCCAGCGCGAACACCAACGUCUCCUGGAGCGCCUGUACCAACGUCAGCGCGAACGUGAACGUCAACACGGACACGGACACGAGGGCGAAGCCGAAGUAGAAGAGGAGGGGACGCCCUACAUGUGAGGGCAGGCCGGAGACGCCGGCUCCCCGUCCCUUUUCCCUUUCCCCCCAGCUCAUUCCUACCUGCCACACCUCUGCCUGACAUGUUCGCAGCUCCGUGGCGUUUCCCGCAUGGGGUCCAGGUGGCUGAUGGGUGCAGAGUGGCUCUGAGGGCCGGAGGCAGGCAAGGGAGUCCGGCUCAAAGUUCCCCUUAGCUGUGGAGGCACCCGAGGCUCACGGGGUUCCUGUGGAAACAGAACUGGCCCGAGGGGAACCCAACAGUCCUUCCCUUUUGCGGUGGGAAAGCAGUUUAGUGCAAGUCGAGUGGAUUCUUUUGGUCACACCUGCUUUGAAAAUCCACGACAGGCCGAGCGCUCCACAUACCUCCACCGAACUCCCUUCGGUUCUCCCUGUUUGCCUCCGUUUGCCUCUGAUCCGUAGGGCUGCGCNCGUCCACACUUGUGUGCUCAAACCGGUUUCUCUGCCCAGAACAGCCGCCCUAGGGAACCAGGCCAAACUCCCCGUAUCCCAGCUCUUGGGGCUGCAGGGAUACCACCUGCNCACUGUCUCCGCAGUCUGCCAGGGAGCGCCGGGUUGGGGUUCCUGGUUCCUCACUUGGCAGCGGCGCCUGUCCUUGUGCCUUUUCACCAGUGGAAACAAGAGUUGCCCCCCACCCCCAAAGCCCCCCUCCUUUUCCUCAUUUCCCAGCUGCAAUUUAGGGUAGAAUAAAACCAGCGCAACUUGCA